GCCCGGUUAGCUCAGUUGGUAGAGCAUCAGACUUUUAAUCUGAGGGUCGUGGGUUCAAGUCCCCCAUCGGGCG
This 73-nucleotide transfer RNA is filed under the name Pomacea canaliculata. RNAcentral describes it as "tRNA-Lys". It matches the Rfam family "tRNA". Rfam says of the family: Transfer RNA (tRNA) molecules are approximately 80 nucleotides in length. Their secondary structure includes four short double-helical elements and three loops (D, anti-codon, and T loops). Lineage: Eukaryota; Metazoa; Mollusca; Gastropoda; Architaenioglossa; Ampullariidae. The record is from Rfam by way of RNAcentral.